UGAACGCUGGCGGUAUGCUUUACACAUGCAAGUCGUACGAGAGUUUUUAACUCAAGUGGCGGACGGGUGAGUAACACGUAAGAAUUUACCUUUAGGAGGGGGACAACAACUGGAAACGGUUGCUAAUACCCCAUAUGCUUUCGAGUGAAAUGGAAUUUCCGCCUAGAGAGAAGCUUGCGGCUGAUUAGCUUGUUGGUAAGGUAAUGGCUUACCAAGGCGACGAUCAGUAUCUGGUUUGAGAGGACGAUCAGACACACUGGAACUGAGACACGGUCCAGACUCCUACGGGAGGCAGCAGUGGGGAAUUUUCCGCAAUGGGCGAAAGCCUGACGGAGCAAUACCGCGUGAGGGAUGACGGCCUAUGGGUUGUAAACCUCUUUUUUCAGGGAGGAAGAAAGUGACGUGUACCUGAAGAAUAAGCAGCGGCUAACUCC
This 434-nucleotide ribosomal RNA is filed under the name uncultured bacterium. RNAcentral describes it as "bacterial SSU rRNA". It matches the Rfam family "Bacterial small subunit ribosomal RNA", at positions 30 to 504 of the family's 1533-position model. The record is from RNAcentral.